UUAGAAUACAGCCUCGGUAUCCCCUGCCUGUCGUAAGAGGCGACUAAAAGGGAGAUGUAAUAGAGUACGUCCUUAAGUACUUCCAAGUUCUUGUAAUCGAAUGGAAUGAUUGUAACGUCGAUGAUGAGAAAUGGUAGCAAAAAUAUGACGGAUAUAUAUGCGUUGAGAUUUGAAAAAGGCGCUUGAACGCAAACUUUCGUUGGGCAGAAAGGGGCCGUUGGGCAUUAGAGAAUGCCGCCCUGAAAAGAGGGAAACUUAUCAAUCAAUCAAUCAUUCAUACACCAAAAAUAUUUAUUGGACAUGGUACGCAAUUUCCGCACGAGUUUACUAGUUCAUUUAUCAACCUUGCCACAUUCUGUUUCACGAAAUUUAACUCGUCAGAGAAAGUCGAUGCAAUUUUAACAUAAUUUCAAUAAAUAUGUUUAUCAAGUCUUCAUUAAAAAACAAAAAACUAUUAAUAUCGUGGUGCCUGAAUUAAAGGACUAGAUCGGGGAGGAUCGUUUGAAAUUCAAUUGGUAUGCUGCACGAAAAUCAGGAUACCGUGGACGUCGGAAAACUCCCAUAAACCGUGACGAAAGUACAAAUUCGCCGCAACGUAAGUAGCAUACAGUGGCUGGUACAACGAUAAAUCUUUGUUUUGACGCCAUUAUAGAGGCUAACAGAGAGGACCGGAAGUAGUUGGAUGACUCUGCGAUCCGUCGCAUAAAAUUUCGAUCGAUUCGUUGGCGAACAUUCCCCGCACGCAUCUCGAAUGUCAACGCAAUUCCGUCGCGGUUCGCUGAAACUUUUAUAGGGUUCCAGCAACUUCCGGUGGUUGCCGCAGGGACUCUCUUUUGGAAACGAGCUCAUCGUCUGUUUCAGAAUCGUCAUAAAGUCGAAGGGAGACACAGAUUUGGUCGCAAGGGACGUUAUUUAAUUAUUUAAUCGGGUAUGCUGGGAUUUACUUUCUGGUAAAUGAUUAAUUACUUUGACUUUUGUUCAAUGAAACGUGGUAGAAAAUGUACAGAAAUUGCGGUAUUUUGUAAAAUACCAAAGGGUGAAACGUGGGACAUCGGGUUGAAAAGGCAGAAACGUUCUCAAUUAAAGGACAAAAUGCCGGAAAGUUUCACGAGACGGUUUUAAAGGGCAAGGAUUCCUAUUCGAUAGAAGAGGCUGUCGCUUAAGGAGCAGCUAUUUAGAAGAUUUCUCUCUGCUUCUUUUUGCGAUGACGAUUCGUAGCAGACGGUUCAAACCGGCAAAGCGAACCAGCCGACAGAAAGCACAUCAUUAAAGGAUGUUUCAGCGAUUACGAACGAACGAUAUAACGAGCACUAACUAUUUCCGGGGCUCGAAAGAUCAAGAAACCUUAUUGCAGCCGGAAACUUUGCCACUAGUUAAAAAUGACCGGAGCGUUCUAAAAAUUCAUAAACGAUGACUUUAAACUUGCUUUAAGCAAUCGCAUGUAAUUCACUGGGGUUUUGAAUUUUUAUGUUGGAGCUGGAAUUAGCGUCAGACAUUGUGGGGAUUAUUUUAACGGAAGGAGAUAAUAAAUUUUCUGUGUUGGCUGCACUGAGGAUGCACAGUGCAUCUGAAUUAGUAAUAUAAACGGAAAGGUACAGAUUCUAUACGUAAAUGGCUGAAAAGUAUUAAUAAGUACGCAUAUUAUAUUAAAUAAUAAAUAAUAAAUUCCAAUCAAGCGCCAUCAUCAGACAGUGAAUAUUAUAUUUUUAUACUUAAAUGUAUAUCCAUGUUUCAUAAAUGCAUAAAAUCUGCAGUCCAAAAAGAGAAAAUUUGAUUUAUAUUGUCGAGAAUAUAACGGACAUUGAGCGAAUUUAAAUCGGUGCAAACAUUCUGUCUAUCCUGUGAAAGAAGGAGGAAAGAGAACAUCAGCAGGAAGUGUUGUUAAAUAUUAACAAUGUAUCGCAGUUCGAACGUAUUCGAAUCUUCCGAUGCUCUUUCGCCUUUCAUUUCUGCAAGUGUGCUCUUUUGAUGCGUGAACUUUAAUAUAAUGCCUUCAGGAUUCUGCUUUUCGCAACUCUACCCUCCUGCAUUUCAUAUUUACUGAAAGAAUAUGAAAGGUACUUGUAAUUGCAAUCGCAGGAAUCAAUCGUUACCAGUGUAAUUCCGUGAAAUUCAAUCGCAAUGCUUCGAUUCAAUUCGCAUUGCGUAAUCGUGAAAUGAAUUAUUCUUCCGGCUGCUAUUCAUCGCAAAUGCAGUUUGUCGGAGAUUAAACAGAAUUAUAAACGUAGCUGUCGAUAUCUUUCAAAUUCACUGCAAAGGACCUCUUUUUUAAAUCAAAUUCUUAACCACUAUGGUUUAGAAAUAGGGUUUGGUUGGAAGCUAAUUUUUAAAUUUUCAAAGCUUUGAAUAAUUUUUUAUCUCUUCUUCAAAAGGUUUUUCUUACACAUGGAUACGUACCAUAAAAUUUUUCAUUAUUUUUUAGAAAGAUAAUAAAG
Molecule: long non-coding RNA, 2435 nt
Organism: Osmia bicornis bicornis
Lineage: Eukaryota; Metazoa; Arthropoda; Insecta; Hymenoptera; Megachilidae
Exons: 3
Source: RefSeq, a predicted model, not a curated record